AAAACUUUAAGUUAAUUAAACUAUUAAUUUUCAAAAUUAAAAAUAAGAAUAUCUUAAGUUUUA
Molecule: transfer RNA, 63 nt
Filed under: Orthotrichia sp. XG-2021
Lineage: Eukaryota; Metazoa; Arthropoda; Insecta; Trichoptera; Hydroptilidae
Description: tRNA-Trp
Source: RNAcentral